GGACCAGUAACUUUAAAGACACAUUUUUCUCCGUACGAAUAUUCCUGAAGUGCCUUAACCUUUUAAAACUCCUAAUUAAAGAAGAGAAAAGAUUUUGAAACAAAGCGCAUGCAGGAUAAUGAGCUCAAAUAUCAAACCAUAAAAGAAACUAAGCAAUCUACCAAUUUUCGGUGUAACUAAGCAUACAGAACAAAGAAGUCCCUAGUUUACCUAUUACACUCCAAAGCAUUCGUCUCUUCACCUCGAGUAAAUUCGACUUCCAAAAUUUUGUAAGGUUCAAAUUAUAUGGCUAUUAUAUUACAACUCAAUAAAGCACAAAUGCCGGCAAUUUUUUCCUAAAAUACAUAGAUCUAUAUAGCAGAGCAUGAAUAUGAAUAUGAAAGUUGAAGCACAAGUACAAUUUUCUGUUAUAACUAAGUGUAUAAAAUACAACCGUCCAG
Molecule: unclassified non-coding RNA, 440 nt
Filed under: Hevea brasiliensis (rubber tree)
Lineage: Eukaryota; Viridiplantae; Streptophyta; Magnoliopsida; Malpighiales; Euphorbiaceae
Source: RNAcentral